AUAGCUCAGUGGUGCAGCUUCUGCCUGGCAAGCACAAGGUCCUGAGUUCCAUUCCCAGU
RNAcentral lists this transfer RNA (59 nucleotides) under Cavia porcellus (domestic guinea pig). It matches the Rfam family "tRNA", at positions 7 to 64 of the family's 71-position model. Rfam says of the family: Transfer RNA (tRNA) molecules are approximately 80 nucleotides in length. Their secondary structure includes four short double-helical elements and three loops (D, anti-codon, and T loops). Lineage: Eukaryota; Metazoa; Chordata; Mammalia; Rodentia; Caviidae. The record is from Rfam by way of RNAcentral.